Molecule: small nucleolar RNA, 107 nt
Filed under: Sorghum bicolor (sorghum)
Lineage: Eukaryota; Viridiplantae; Streptophyta; Magnoliopsida; Poales; Poaceae
Description: Plant small nucleolar RNA R71
Rfam family: Plant small nucleolar RNA R71
About the family: R71 is a member of the C/D box family of snoRNAs containing the C (UGAUGA) and D (CUGA) box motifs. Multiple nearly identical copies of this snoRNA have been identified in Arabidopsis, and it is thought to function as a 2'-O-ribose methylation guide for 18S ribosomal RNA.
Source: Rfam by way of RNAcentral
AUUCUAUGAUGGGGACAUUCUAGGAUGUAGUCUUGGAAGCGCUCCCAUGCUUCUGGAACGGAUUCAUCAUGUUGUUGCUGAAAACUUGUAAUCUUCCCACAGAGAGC